AGUCAAUAGAUACCCGGGUAGUCCACGCCGUAAACGAUGAGUACUAGGUGUAGGAGGUAUCGACUCCUUCUGUGCCGCAGUUAAACACAAUAAGUACUCCGCCUGGGAAGUACGGUCGCAAGAUUAAAACUCAAAGAAAUUGACGGGGGCCCGCACAAGCAGCGGAGCAUGUGGUUUAAUUCGAAGCAACGCGAAGAACCUUACCUAGACUUGACAUCUCCUGAAUAGUGUAGAGAUACAUGAAGCCCUUCGGGGCGAGGAAGACAGGUGGUGCAUGGUUGUCGUCAGCUCGUGUCGUGAGAUGUUGGGUUAAGUCCCGCAACGAGCGCAACCCUUA
RNAcentral lists this ribosomal RNA (337 nucleotides) under uncultured bacterium. Its description in RNAcentral is "bacterial SSU rRNA". It matches the Rfam family "Bacterial small subunit ribosomal RNA", at positions 775 to 1107 of the family's 1533-position model. The record is from RNAcentral.